UGGGGAAUAUUGGACAAUGGGCGAAAGCCUGAUCCAGCCAUGCCGCGUGUGUGAAGAAGGCCUUAUGGUUGUAAAGCACUUUAAGCGAGGAGGAGGGUACUGGUAUUAAUACUACCAGGUACUGGACGUUACUCGCAGAAUAAGCACCGGCUAACUCUGUGCCAGCAGCCGCGGUAAUACAGAGGGUGCGAGCGUUAAUCGGAUUUACUGGGCGUAAAGCGUGCGUAGGCGGCUAAUUGAGUCGGAUGUGAAAUCCCCGAGCUUAACUUGGGAAUUGCAUUCGAUACUGGUUAGCUAGAGUGUGGGAGAGGAUGGUAGAAUUCCAGGUGUAGCGGUGAAAUGCGUAGAGAUCUGGAGGAAUACCGAUGGCGAAGGCAGCCAUAUGGCCUAACACUGACGCUGAGGUACGAAAGCAUGGGGAGCAAACAGG
This 430-nucleotide ribosomal RNA is filed under the name Pseudomonadota bacterium. Its description in RNAcentral is "Proteobacteria bacterium partial 16S ribosomal RNA". It matches the Rfam family "Bacterial small subunit ribosomal RNA", at positions 355 to 776 of the family's 1533-position model. Lineage: Bacteria; Pseudomonadati; Pseudomonadota. The record is from RNAcentral.